GCCCGGGUGGCGGAAUUGGCAGACGCGCUGCGUUCAGGUCGCAGUGGGCUUCGGCUCGUGCGAGUUCGAGUCUCGCCCCGGGCACCA
This 87-nucleotide transfer RNA is filed under the name bacterium. Its description in RNAcentral is "tRNA-Leu". It matches the Rfam family "tRNA". From Rfam's summary of the family: Transfer RNA (tRNA) molecules are approximately 80 nucleotides in length. The record is from RNAcentral. RNAcentral also lists the same sequence under 2 other names.